GCCAUAUAUAUAUAUAUAUAUAUAAACAAAUAAAAUAAUAAUUAAAUAAAUAAAAUAUAUAUAUAUAUACACAUAAUAAAUAUAUAUAAAGUAUAAUUAUAUUGCAACAUUCUGCUAUACAGAUAUGUUGUAUUAUGUCAAAUCUUAAAUUGUGCAGAAGUCAUCUCUGUGUGAUAUGAACAGUUGUUACUGUUAAAAAACAAAAAAAAAAACUUUGUUGCUUCUUCCAGUAUGUUAAAAUGGUGAUAGAGAAGCAAAAGUAACAUCUAGUGUGAUAUUUUUACAGCCUUAAUGUAACUCAUUGCGGCUUCUUGACCAUUCACUCUGCCUCCUCUGCUCUCAAGACAUGCUCAGCCCGUGGUCAUAAAAUAUAUUCGUAGAGCAAAUUAACUUUAUAGUAUUGAAUGCAAGUCUCCAGUAUUUAAGUGCCAGAAGAAAAGCCUUAAUUUAAAAAAUGCCAUAUCAGCAUUUGUGGUUAUGAUUAAUGUUCUAUGUAGUCACCAGAGCAGGUGUUGCUGAGUCUUGAAGCCAAAUGAAUGGAACCUCAAACAGUAUCACCUUAUUGGUGUUGCUGUAUUCUCACUGGUGAACCUCCAAAUUGUGUUGUGUUUGUGACUUUCUUCCAAGAGCAAUUUAUUGCAAUUUCAUUAUGACAGCUGUCCAGAUAUUGAUGUAUUAUGACAAUGUGAUUUCUGCAUUUUCUGCAUAAUGGUUUAGCAAAUAUUGACACCAUUUAUUAGAUGAAGCAUGUACAUGUUCUGCAUAAAAAUGAACAGAUUAUUCUGCCACUUGAAUGCCCAGUGGUGACCAAAACCAACAUUUCUGACUGUGCCAGUAUCCAACGUGUAUGCAUUUUACAGUAUUCAAUAAUAAGUACAUAUAUUUAAAAAUACUUUUAAAUUCCUAUUUUUCAUUCCCCAAUUUUUAAUUGAGACAAUGUUUUGGUAACAACAAUGUUUAAUUCCAAAUGAAAUUGUAUAGAUGUUGUAUGAGCUCUUCCCAACAGCCAGCACUGUUGGAGGCCCACUGGUACUUAAAAUUGUACAGGGAUGUGACCUAGUCUGUCACGUAGUUGAUUGCGUGAUACUAUCGGUCACAAUAUGUGUGAUACCCAAGUACCUGUGUAAUUUACUGUGUGGCAUAACAAAGUACUCGAAUAAUAUCAUUAUUUCAAAAGUCACUAUGUAGGGGAGUUACUCCUGUUAAGUCACCUGUAUUGUGAUGUGAGACAAAAGUGCAUUUCCUGUAGUUUUCAUUAUGGUGCUUCAGAGAGAAAAGUAUACUUCAGCAUGGGAAAAGGCCUUUUAAUUGCCUUCUUCCUCUUGACAAAUUGGUCUUUCCCAGCUGUAGGAUUCUUCAUCUCUCAAGCAUUUUAGCUUGCCAAAGUUGAAAGAUCAAAGAAGAGAGCUUGCUGAAAUUAUUUUCACCAUUUUGAAACAAACUAUGUACAGUAGAAGUAAUUUGCUCUUUUCUAGCCAUAACUCUCACUCCUUCUUCCAGAUGUAUAUGUGCUUUAUAUCCUAUAUCCCAAGCUGUGUAUGAUGUGAAAAUAUUUGUAUGGAUGAUUUUUCAUUGAAUGAAUCAUAUUGUUUAAAAAAUGCAAAUUUGUAAUCUUUGUCCCAUAUUUAUAAAAAAUUGUUUCCAUUUGAUAUGUUAUAGAUGCAAACAUUAUAAAUAUCUCUUUAAUAAUUUUUAACCUUUUUAUGCUCUAAACUAUGGUAGACAGACAGGCUGAAAAUUUCUUCUUGAUCAACUAUUGUAUUUAGAAUAUUUGUGGUUAAUGUAAUGUUUUGUAUUUAUUUUUAAUCUUGCACACACAAUUUAUUUCUUUUAUAUAUACCAUUCUCAUUAAAUGUUGUACAUUUAAAUUUUGAAACAUAUCAAGUUUAUCAUCAGAUCUUUUUUGUGUGUAUGUGAAUGUAUGUAUGUGUGUUAGGUUCUUCAGGUACAGGUGCUGAUUAGGUAAUCUCUCAAAUUCAGUUGUUAACUAUAAUACAAAAUUGUUUAUCUCAUGAUAUUAAAAGUUCUACAAGAACAAAACUCAUUUGUACUUAAUUUGUGUUGAUAUGUACCUCUUGUAAAUGAGAUUCUCAGAGUGUAGUUCAUUGCAAAUUGUUUUCAGAUGUAUUAGUGCAGAUGAUUCCAAUGGCAAUGAACAUAAUUAUGUGCCAUGAUUUACAAAUUUUUUGCAGCAAUAUAUGUGCACAGAUUCAACGACCAAAGCAAAGUCUGGUAUUUAGUUCAUUUAAAAUAAUUUAUUUAUAUUUUCUCCUAAUGCAUAAUAUUGCCUUACUAUAAGUUUUAUUAUUUCAGUUUUAAAUCAUCUCAGCCUGUCUUUCCUUUUGAAAGAUUUUUGGAUAGAUUAUGUAUUGUAGGUGAGCUCUACCGUCCAAGCCUUUUCCAUAUCCCAGUUUUUAAAAAUAAAGGAAGCAUUGCUUUCCUAUGUUGCCAAUAUAAUCUGUAUUGUACAAGUCAAACUGUUAAUAUACCAAUCCCACGUGAACAUCAUGGUGCUAGUUAGAUAUAUUAUGGUGUUGGACAAUAUUUCACUUGUAACUCUUGUCAAAAUCAAUCAGUGGAGAAAGGCAAGUCUGUGUCACUGAUUUACUGCCAUUUUUCACUAAUGCUGAAUCUGGCAUGUAUAUGUGUAUCUUAAGAAUCAUUGCUUCAUUGGAAAUUUAUCUUAACUGAGAAUAUUUUGCUUUGUGAUUUUCUAUCAGUGAUAUGUUGGCUCAAGGUUUAUUCCAUGACAACAGGGUUGCUUCUCAUUUUGUUUGCAUCCUAGUGAGUUUUGUCUGAGAAAAAAAAAAAAAGUUAAAAAAAAAACUUUUGAAGAAGUUAGUCUAUGUCACUGAUUAGCAGCUAGGUUAUAUAUAAAUAAUAAAAGUGCAUACAUAAAUAUAUAUAUAUAUAUAAUAUAUAUGUAUGUAUGUAAAGUAAGUAUGGAAAUAUAUAUAUAUAUGUAUGUAUGUAUGUAGAAAGACACAGUAUAUA
RNAcentral lists this long non-coding RNA (2994 nucleotides) under Androctonus crassicauda. The record is from RNAcentral. Lineage: Eukaryota; Metazoa; Arthropoda; Arachnida; Scorpiones; Buthidae.